This 340-nucleotide unclassified non-coding RNA is filed under the name uncultured fungus. RNAcentral's name for it is "sequence contains ITS1". The stretch from base 1 to 103 matches the Rfam family "5.8S ribosomal RNA", at positions 50 to 154 of the family's 154-position model. Lineage: Eukaryota; Fungi. The record is from RNAcentral.
GAAGUGCGAUAAGCAAUGCGAAUUGCAGAACCGUGAGUCAUCAGAUUUUUGAACGCAACUGGCGCUGGCUGGGUCUCCAGCCAGCAUGCUUGUUCCAGUGUCUUGUUUUCUCCUCACCCAAAACUUAAUGCGAGAGAUACCCUUCUCUUGUCAAACACGAAAGCACUCUUCUCCUGCGAGCGUCUCUUGAACUUGUUCAGGGGUCGCACUCAAUGCAGACGUCACAUUUCUCACAAUGUGAACUCAUUGAGAGCUGGAGCAGUCAGCUAACGCUGUCAGUGCUUAGCCACCUAAACUUUCUUUGCACCUGGAAUCAAGCAGGAUCACCCGCUGAACUUAA